Molecule: non-coding RNA, 224 nt
Organism: Caenorhabditis elegans
Lineage: Eukaryota; Metazoa; Nematoda; Chromadorea; Rhabditida; Rhabditidae
Source: Ensembl
UCCCAAUGGCAAAUAUAUUCUGUUUUGAGGGAAAUUGGCGUAGAGGUUGUCUGGUACAAAAAAAACAAGAAGGGGGGGGGGGGGGCAGGAAAAAGUACUGCAUUCGAAUUUUGAUAUUUAAAUUCAUAACAAAUAACUAGACAAGAUUUACCUACGGAUAUAUAGAAGUAAUUAACAACAAUAACAAAGUUAAAGCUCAGUGUGUUUUAUAUUUUGAAAAAUAA